GACGAACGCUGGCGGCGUGCUUAACACAUGCAAGUCGAACGGAAAGGCCCUGCUUUUGUGGGGUGCUCGAGUGGCGAACGGGUGAGUAACACGUGAGUAACCUGCCCUUGACUUUGGGAUAACUUCAGGAAACUGGGGCUAAUACCGGAUAGGAGCUCCUGCUGCAUGGUGGGGGUUGGAAAGUUUCGGCGGUUGGGGAUGGACUCGCGGCUUAUCAGCUUGUUGGUGGGGUAGUGGCUUACCAAGGCUUUAACGGGUAGCCGGCCUGAGAGGGUGACCGGCCACAUUGGGACUGAGAUACAGCCCAGACUCCUACGGGAGGCAGCAGUGGGGAAUAUUGCACAAUGGGCGGAAGCCUGAUGCAGCAACGCCGCGUGCGGGAUGACGGCCUUCGGGUUGUAAACCGCUUUCGCCUGUGACGAAGCGUGAGUGACGGUAAUGGGUAAAGAAGCACCGGCUAACUACGUG
Molecule: ribosomal RNA, 468 nt
Filed under: uncultured bacterium
Lineage: Bacteria
Description: partial 16S ribosomal RNA
Rfam family: Bacterial small subunit ribosomal RNA
Source: RNAcentral